CCUACGGGUGGCAGCAGUGAGGAAUAUUGGUCAAUGGACGCAAGCCUGAACCAGCCAUGCCGCGUGAAGGAAGACGGCUCUAUGAGUUGUAAACUGCUUUUGUACGAGGGUAAACGCAGAUACGCGUAUCUGUCUGAAAGUAUCGUACGAAUAAGGAUCGGCUAACUCCGUGCCAGCAGCCGCGGUAAUACGGAGGAUUCAAGCGUUAUCCGGAUUUAUUGGGUUUAAAGGGUGCGUAGGCGGUUGGAUAAGUUAGAGGUGAAAUCCCGAGGCUCAACUUCGGAAUUGCCUUUGAUACUGUCAGGCUAGAGAGUAGUUGCGGUAGGCGGAAUUUAUGGUGUAGCGGUGAAAUGCUUAGAGAUCACACAGAACACCGAUUGCGAAGGCAGCUUACCAAGCUACCUCUGACGUUGAGGCACGAAAGCGUGGGGAGCAAACAGGAUUAGAUACCCCAGUAGUC
RNAcentral lists this ribosomal RNA (460 nucleotides) under uncultured bacterium. RNAcentral's name for it is "partial 16S ribosomal RNA". It matches the Rfam family "Bacterial small subunit ribosomal RNA", at positions 338 to 795 of the family's 1533-position model. The record is from RNAcentral.